This 28-nucleotide small RNA is filed under the name Bombyx mori (domestic silkworm). Its description in RNAcentral is "ovarian small RNA-37970". Lineage: Eukaryota; Metazoa; Arthropoda; Insecta; Lepidoptera; Bombycidae. The record is from RNAcentral.
UUGCUUGUUUGUUGACAUUGUGCCAAUA